This 76-nucleotide non-coding RNA is filed under the name bovine gut metagenome. RNAcentral's name for it is "Cyclic di-GMP-I riboswitch". It matches the Rfam family "c-di-GMP-I riboswitch aptamer", at positions 11 to 83 of the family's 87-position model. From Rfam's summary of the family: GEMM was predicted in a large-scale screen for bacterial structured RNA regulatory elements. Genes associated with GEMM are involved in a diverse array of functions, including chemotaxis regulation, signal transduction, secretion and chitin. The record is from RNAcentral.
UUUUGGCAAACUUGUUGAAAAACAAGGACGCAAAGCUAAUGGGUCUAAACCUUAAAACGGUAUGACAGCCAGCUGC